This 677-nucleotide long non-coding RNA is filed under the name Cucumis sativus (cucumber). RNAcentral's name for it is "long non-coding RNA (CSAT_LNC002376)". The record is from RNAcentral. Lineage: Eukaryota; Viridiplantae; Streptophyta; Magnoliopsida; Cucurbitales; Cucurbitaceae.
UUUUUUUUUCUCUCUCCCUCUCUACCGGCUGCCAUGCUGGGGAACUCUAGUGACCCACUAGGCGGGGGUCGGGUUUUGCAACCCUUAGCAGCUUGGUCGUAUUGUUUUGUUUUUAUCGACUGUUCUGUUGGGUGAAGAACUCUAAGAACUUGCCGACUUUACUUUCUACCUGACCUAAAAUCAUAUUUUGCUUUCAAACAAUCUUAUACAAAUGUGUAUGGCCAAAAGAGGGAUUUAAAAUUAAUAUAAAAAAGGCAUUAGAAUAUGGCAAAAAAGGGAUUAAAUUGAGAUAAAAAAGAGAACCGCACAUAUUAUUAUGUACACAAUUCACAAUAUUCAGAAAAUGAACCAAGUGUUCUACUCAUUUCUAAGCUAUCAACAUAUGCAUUUUCAACAUGUGUAACAUAUUCAAAUAACAAAUACAAUCACAAAUCCGAGCUCCGUUCUCAUGCGUUAGGCAUACAUGCUUUUUUAUGCUAAAAAGCGAAGUAGACAUGGUACUUAUUCUAAGCAUAGAGCAUUACAAAAGUUUCUAAAUUUUGACAUUUUUAGCAAAAUUUGCAAAAUGAAAAUUUCCCAAAGGACAUGGAAUGUGCAAGGCUACAACCCCACCCCCCACUUAAAAAUAUGCAUUGUCCUCAAAGCAUUUUAAGCAAGAUUCUACGGAUGGAAAAAAA